UUUCCGUAGGUGAACCUGCGGAAGGAUCAUUACAGAGUUCAUGCCCUCACGGGUAGAUCUCCCACCCUUGAAUAUUUAUACCUUAGUUGCUUUGGCAGGCCGUGGAAACACCAUGGGCUCCGGCUUAUGCGUGUCUGCCAGAGGAAACAAACUCUGUUUUUAGUGAUGUCUGAGUACUAUCUAAUAGUUAAAACUUUCAACAACGGAUCUCUUGGUUCUG
This 220-nucleotide unclassified non-coding RNA is filed under the name plant metagenome. Its description in RNAcentral is "partial contains small subunit ribosomal RNA, internal transcribed spacer 1, and 5.8S ribosomal RNA". The record is from RNAcentral.